CAAAAGUAGUAUCCAACGCGUUUCGUCACUAUGGUGACUUCCUCAGGGAUAUAGAUGUGUUAUCUUCAUGGUUUAUAUAUCAUGCCAAUUUUCAAAUUCGCGGGGAAAUUCACGUUACUUCCGGUUUUCGGCCCUUAGACUACCUGCGUUCCACCUUGGAACGCAUAGCGUCACUUCCGGUUUCGGAUCUAAUCCGAUCGAGGGGAGCCCUCUUCUGCUAGCACUAAUAGAAGUGCAGCAGAAAAGGCUUCCCCUCUGGGGCAACAAUCAGUUCUCAUUAUACAAAUAUGGGACAGAAAAAGAAGUCUGUAUGCCAUGAAAAUAAU
Pelobates cultripes (western spadefoot toad) is the source of this 326-nucleotide non-coding RNA. The record is from the annotation of a GenBank genome assembly. NCBI's taxonomy places the organism in Eukaryota, Metazoa, Chordata, Amphibia, Anura, Pelobatidae.